Non-coding RNA from Gossypium raimondii (Peruvian cotton), 140 nucleotides. The record is from Rfam. Lineage: Eukaryota; Viridiplantae; Streptophyta; Magnoliopsida; Malvales; Malvaceae.
UAUUAAAAAUUUCAUCCAUUCGUACUAUUAAAAAUUGACAUAUUGACAUAGUUGACAAAAUAGCCCAAUAUGCCACGUGUACCUUAUGUUGACAAACAGAAAUCAAUUUUUAAUAGCAGAAAUGGAUGAAUUUUUUAAUA